UACGUAGGGUGCGAGCGUUAAUCGGAAUUACUGGGCGUAAAGCGCGCGCAGGCGGCCUUUUAAGUCUGAUGUGAAAGCCCACGGCUCAACCGUGGAAGGUCAUUGGAAACUGAAAGGCUUGAGUACAGAAGAGGAAAGCGGAAUUCCACGUGUAGCGGUGAAAUGCGUAGAGAUGUGGAGGAACACCAGUGGCGAAGGCGGCUUUCUGGUCUGUAACUGACGCUGAGGCGCGAAAGCGUGGGGAGCAAACAGG
This 253-nucleotide ribosomal RNA is filed under the name uncultured bacterium. Its description in RNAcentral is "partial 16S ribosomal RNA". It matches the Rfam family "Bacterial small subunit ribosomal RNA", at positions 524 to 776 of the family's 1533-position model. The record is from RNAcentral.